GGGACACGUGGUAUCCUGUCUGAAUAUGGGGGGACCAUCCUCCAAGGCUAAAUACUCCUGACUGACCGAUAGUGAACCAGUACCGUGAGGGAAAGGCGAAAAGAACCCCGGCGAGGGGAGUGAAAAAGAACCUGAAACCGUGUACGUACAAGCAGUGGGAGCACGCUUAGGCGUGUGACUGCGUACCUUUUGUAUAAUGGGUCAGCGACUUAUAUUCUGUAGCAAGGUUAACCGAAUAGGGGAGCCGAAGGGAAACCGAGUCUUAACUGGGCGUUAAGUUGCAGGGUAUAGACCCGAAACCCGGUGAUCUAGCCAUGGGCAGGUUGAAGGUUGGGUAACACUAACUGGAGGACCGAACCGACUAAUGUUGAAAAAUUAGCGGAUGACUUGUGGCUGGGGGUGAAAGGCCAAUCAAACCGGGAGAUAGCUGGUUCUCCCCGAAAGCUAUUUAGGUAGCGCCUCGUGAAUUCAUCUCCGGGGGUAGAGCACUGUUUCGGCAAGGGGGUCAUCCCGACUUACCAACCCGAUGCAAACUGCGAAUACCGGAGAAUGUUAUCACGGGAGACACACGGCGGGUGCUAACGUCCGUCGUGAAGAGGGAAACAACCCAGACCGCCAGCUAAGGUCCCAAAGUCAUGGUUAAGUGGGAAACGAUGUGGGAAGGCCCAGACAGCCAGGAUGUUGGCUUAGAAGCAGCCAUCAUUUAAAGAAAGCGUAAUAGCUCACUGGUCGAGUCGGCCUGCGCGGAAGAUGUAACGGGGCUAAACCAUGCACCGAAGCUGCGGCAGCGACACUAUGUGUUGUUGGGUAGGGGAGCGUUCUGUAAGCCUGUGAAGGUGUACUGUGAGGUAUGCUGGAGGUAUCAGAAGUGCGAAUGCUGACAUAAGUAACGAUAAAGCGGGUGAAAA
Molecule: ribosomal RNA, 908 nt
Filed under: Escherichia coli
Lineage: Bacteria; Pseudomonadati; Pseudomonadota; Gammaproteobacteria; Enterobacterales; Enterobacteriaceae
Description: partial 23S ribosomal RNA
Rfam family: Bacterial large subunit ribosomal RNA
Source: RNAcentral